UGAGCUACAUCAUGGAGGAUCUGGGAUUAAUACCUGGAUAUAGAAUAAACAAAGUAAAAGAAAUAGAAGGUUAGCUUGAGCAGCAGUUGUAGGCAGAAUCAACAGUUAAAAGAGCAGUAGUGCACAGCUUUGAAUCAGUUAUGAACCAGAAAAACAAAAAUAGAUUUGAUUUUAAUUUGUUUCAACUAUCAACUACCCAAAUAUUGUUUUAACUUUAGAAUUCAACAGCAAUGGUCAAUGGAACAGUAUUUUUUGAAGAAACUCUCUGAAGUUCCAAAAAAAUUUCCUCUAUUCUAGGCUCUUUUCAG
Molecule: long non-coding RNA, 308 nt
Filed under: Nicotiana benthamiana
Lineage: Eukaryota; Viridiplantae; Streptophyta; Magnoliopsida; Solanales; Solanaceae
Description: long non-coding RNA (NBEN_LNC037960)
Source: RNAcentral